Molecule: ribosomal RNA, 844 nt
Filed under: Paraclostridium bifermentans
Lineage: Bacteria; Bacillati; Bacillota; Clostridia; Peptostreptococcales; Peptostreptococcaceae
Description: bacterial SSU rRNA
Rfam family: Bacterial small subunit ribosomal RNA
Source: RNAcentral
UACAGAGUUUGGAAUCCUGGCUCAGGAUGAACGCUGGCGGCGUGCCUAACACAUGCAAGUCGAGCGAUCUCUUCGGAGAGAGCGGCGGACGGGUGAGUAACGCGUGGGUAACCUGCCCUGUACACACGGAUAACAUACCGAAAGGUAUACUAAUACGGGAUAACAUAUGAAAGUCGCAUGGCUUUUGUAUCAAAGCUCCGGCGGUACAGGAUGGACCCGCGUCUGAUUAGCUAGUUGGUAAGGUAAUGGCUUACCAAGGCAACGAUCAGUAGCCGACCUGAGAGGGUGAUCGGCCACACUGGAACUGAGACACGGUCCAGACUCCUACGGGAGGCAGCAGUGGGGAAUAUUGCACAAUGGGCGAAAGCCUGAUGCAGCAACGCCGCGUGAGCGAUGAAGGCCUUCGGGUCGUAAAGCUCUGUCCUCAAGGAAGAUAAUGACGGUACUUGAGGAGGAAGCCCCGGCUAACUACGUGCCAGCAGCCGCGGUAAUACGUAGGGGGCUAGCGUUAUCCGGAAUUACUGGGCGUAAAGGGUGCGUAGGUGGUUUUUUAAGUCAGAAGUGAAAGGCUACGGCUCAACCGUAGUAAGCUUUUGAAACUAGAGAACUUGAGUGCAGGAGAGGAGAGUAGAAUUCCUAGUGUAGCGGUGAAAUGCGUAGAUAUUAGGAGGAAUACCAGUAGCGAAGGCGGCUCUCUGGACUGUAACUGACACUGAGGCACGAAAGCGUGGGGAGCAAACAGGAUUAGAUACCCUGGUAGUCCACGCCGUAAACGAUGAGUACUAGGUGUCGGGGGUUACCCCCCUCGGUGCCGCAGCUAACGCAUUAAGACCCCCCCCUGAAG